This 916-nucleotide ribosomal RNA is filed under the name uncultured marine archaeon. RNAcentral's name for it is "bacterial SSU rRNA". It matches the Rfam family "Archaeal small subunit ribosomal RNA", at positions 1 to 922 of the family's 1478-position model. The record is from RNAcentral.
UUCCGGUUGAUCCCGCCGGAGGCUACCGCUAUUGGAGUUCGAUUAAGCCAUGCGAGUCGCGAGAAAUUAGAUUCUCGGCGUACCGCUCAGUAACACGUGGGUAACCUGCCCUAUGCUGGAUAAUAACCUCGGGAAACUGAGAAUAAUGAUCCAUAGUUCACUACGCCUGGAACGGUGAGUGGAUGAAAGCUCCGGCGGCAUAGGAUGGGCCUGCGGCGUAUCAGGUUGUAGGGGGUGUAACGUACCCUCUAGCCCUCUACGCGUACGGGUGUUGGGAGACAUAGCCCGGAGAUGGAUUCUGAGACACGAAUCCAGACCCUACGGGGUGCAGCAGGCGCGAAAACUUGGCAAUGCGAGAAAUCGUGACCAGGGAACUCCAAGUGCAUGGGGUAAGACCCAUGCUUUUCUUGACUCUAAAUAGGUCUUGGAAUAAGGGGUGGGUAAGGACGGUGCCAGCCGCCGCGGUAAUACCGGCGCCUCAAGUGGUAGUCGCUUUUAUUGGGCCUAAAACGUCCGUAGCCGGUCUGAUACAUUCGUGGGUAAAUCAACCAGCUUAACUGGUUGAAUUCUGCGAGGACGGUCAGACUUGGGACCGGGAGAGGUGUGGGGUACGCUCAGGGUAGGGGUAAAAUCCUGUCAUCCUGAGCGGACCACCUGUUUCGAAGGCGCCACACUAGAACGGAUCCGACGGUCAGGGACGAAGCCUAGGGGCACGAACCGGAUUAGAUACCCGGGUAGUCCUAGGUGUAAACGCUGUGGACUUGAUGUUGGGGGUGCUCCGAGCACUCUCAGUGUCGAAGCGAAGGUGAUAAGUCCACUGCCUGGGAAGUACGGUCGCAAGGCUGAAACUUAAAGGAAUUGGCGGGGGAGCACCGCAACCUGAGGAUUGUGCGGUUUAAUUGGAGUCAACGCCGGA